RNAcentral lists this ribosomal RNA (483 nucleotides) under uncultured bacterium. RNAcentral's name for it is "partial 16S ribosomal RNA". It matches the Rfam family "Bacterial small subunit ribosomal RNA", at positions 30 to 506 of the family's 1533-position model. The record is from RNAcentral.
AUUGAACGCUGGCGGCAGGCCUAACACAUGCAAGUCGAGCGGAUGAAGGGAGCUUGCUCCUGGAUUCAGCGGCGGACGGGUGAGUAAUGCCUAGGAAUCUGCCUGGUAGUGGGGGAUAACGUCCGGAAACGGGCGCUAAUACCGCAUACGUCCUGAGGGAGAAAGUGGGGGAUCUUCGGACCUCACGCUAUCAGAUGAGCCUAGGUCGGAUUAGCUAGUUGGUGGGGUAAAGGCCUACCAGGGCGACGAUCCGUAACUGGUCUGAGAGGAUGAUCAGUCACACUGGAACUGAGACACGGUCCAGACUCCUACGGGAGGCAGCAGUGGGGAAUAUUGGACAAUGGGCGAAAGCCUGAUCCAGCCAUGCCGCGUGUGUGAAGAAGGUCUUCGGAUUGUAAAGCACUUUAAGUUGGGAGGAAGGGCAGUAAGUUAAUACCUUGCUGUUUUGACGUUACCAACAGAAUAAGCACCGGCUAACUUCGU